Daktulosphaira vitifoliae (grape phylloxera) is the source of this 2453-nucleotide long non-coding RNA. RefSeq lists it as uncharacterized. Lineage: Eukaryota; Metazoa; Arthropoda; Insecta; Hemiptera; Phylloxeridae. The record is from RefSeq and is a predicted model, not a curated record. The transcript has 3 exons.
CAAAUAACAAACAAGCGUUGUUGUUCUUUCGCAUUUCUUCUUGGACGCAUAAAACUGCAUGUAAAAAAUAGCAUCCAGGAGGGGAAUAGAUCUCUUAACUGUGCUUUUCCUUUUUUUAAGAGGAUACGAAGUUAUAGUGUUAUAGCUGCCUUUGUUAUUCGUGUUAACGUUUAGGAAUUCAUAUAAAAACUGCGGUGGUUAAUUUGGCUGAGCUAUUUUAAUUUGAUUGUAGCUCUUAUGUUCUUUUAAAAUCUUUUAAGUUAAAAUUAAAACAAUUUGUAGUAACCAUAUUUAAUUGUCAGCUGCACUGUUGAACCUCAUGAAUAAUAUGAUUUCUUUAAUAGAAAUUUUGUUUUAUAAUUUCAUAAAAAAAUGAUUUUUAAAUUAUUUAUGAAAUAAACGUAUAAAAAAAACCCUCUUCAAAAUCGGCGGCGCAAUUAGUGUUUCGUCUUGAAGGAAUAUAUCUCCCAUAUCAUGUGCCUGAUUCAUUUUAUGGUCAUAGAAUAAAGUUUUUAAUAAGCUUAAAAAACCGAGUUUUACUGUUAUCUCAUUUUCAGCGAGGACCAAGCAACGAUAGAAUUAUAUUUAAAUGAAAAAUGAAUUAAUGCGUAAACUAUCUAACCAUGUUUUUUGUUAAUUGUUAGUAAUACUAUUCUAAUAAUUUGGUGGUUAUGUUGUUAGAACUUUUUUUUCUCAAAUCAAUUGUCUGUAUACAAAAAAAAAUGUGUUAAAUAAAAAUUCUUGAAUUUUAUUCGCUGUAUUGGAAUUAAAAAUAAUUUAGUACAUUUUUCUAUUGUGGGUAAAUUAUUUUUAUUUUAUUUUAACAUAAAUUUACACUCAUAAUUUCGCUAUUAAAAUGUAUAUUAGUAGUUAUAAAUGUUUAAUUAAUGUAAUUAAAAAUUAUCCGGUUAUAAAAUGAAAACCUUAUGCAUACAAGUAAUUAAAAAUACGUUGAAUUAGGACUUUCGUUGUAGAUUUUAGGUCUAAUUUCUCACAUACGGAGUGUAUCUUUACCGACAUAAUUAUAAUAAUAGUUUUAUUCUCGUGUAUGAUCUUUUAAAGCUAUUGUUAUUUUUUACGUUUUUGUGCACACUUAAUUGAAUCCGUUUUUUUUCGUGGUAAAUCCGCUAUUUUUUAUUAUACCGUAUCCUUAAUUCCCUUAACGGUGUACCUCCACCGCACUCACUAUAAAAACAUUAAUACUAAGCUUUGUAUGUAUUUGAUUUAUUAUCUAUUGGUUAGCUUUUGUUAUUCGGUAAUAGCGUGUAUACCAUUCUGGAAUAGGAAGUGCAGUUUUCAAAUCUAGAUCACUAGUUGUUUAGUAAUUUUGUUGUUAACUAUUUAACAAAUAAUAUACACCAAAACAGUAAUUUUUAAAACGCGCCAAACCAACGAUAGAUUUGUCAGUCGAUUCUUCUACAAUAUAAUUUAGAAAAAAUACUAUCCAGUACUAUAAUAACAAUUAUUUAAAAUCAUUGAAAAUGGUAUUUUUUUACUAUUCGUACUACAAUUAGCAGGCACAUUUCAUUGUAUAAAUGAGAAAAAAUUAAGUUUUAUCGAAUUAUUGAUAACCGAUUUGCUUUUAAACAUGAAUUCCACUUUGAUUUGCAUAUGAUACAAACCAGUGUGUAGUUACGUUGUUUGUUUUUUCCCAGCGUUGAAUUAACGAAAUAUGCGUGUAAUAUAAAUAAAACAAUCUUGUUGACGCCUUAGAUUUUUUGAAAGAAAAUGCCGCUAUACACAUGUGUUUUGCAGUGAGAAUUUGCGGUUUUGUGUUUUUAUCGUCAUCAUCAGUCAUGCACUAUGAGAUGCUAUACCACCGUGUGAAAACCACUUCAAUAAUAAUAAUUUGUAAAAAUUAUACCAUUGGAACAGCGGGUAACGUAAUUUGAUUUUAAAACAACAAUGAAUAAUGAACAUGUGGCAAUUAUAUCUUUUUUACGGUUUGCAACAACAAUUCGUAAAACAUACUGUUUUUCUAUUUCACGUUUUGUGUGAAUAAUAUUGUAAUCUUGUAUAAGUUUAUACCUAUUUUUACAACGUCGUUCACAAUAACCGAUUUUUAAAAAUUUUAUAAUCCAUUUAGAACAUUAUGAUCAUUCUACCAUUUAGAAAAGUUUUUUUUAGUUAGAAAAUGAGCAAUAAUAGAAAAUAGUAAAUAAAUUUUUGGUGUCGGAUGUUAUUAAUAGUGAAACUAUACGUGUUUCAAGAAAGAAAACUCAUUUUUGAAAUACAAAGUUCGGACAUACGUUUCAGCAAAACAAAAACACAUUUUCUUAGAGAUAUUUUUAUCUGUAAGAAUUAAUUUAAAUUUAACUUGAAACAAGUAUAUCUUAAAUGCAUAAAUGACUUUGGCCAUCCAUCUGGCAUAACUCACAGCUCAUGAUAUUCAAAAUGUUUUUCUGUUUUAGGAAUAAUUCCAAGAAUAAUCAUUGUCAAUCAUAAUAGAUCAC